This 464-nucleotide ribosomal RNA is filed under the name uncultured bacterium. RNAcentral's name for it is "partial 16S ribosomal RNA". It matches the Rfam family "Bacterial small subunit ribosomal RNA", at positions 339 to 795 of the family's 1533-position model. The record is from RNAcentral.
CUACGGGAGGCACCAGUGGGGAAUAUUGCACAAUGGGCGCAAGCCUGAUGCAGCCAUGCCGCGUGUAUGAAGAAGGCCUUCGGGUUGUAAAGUACUUUCAGCGGGGAGGAAGGGAGUAAAGUUAAUACCUUUGCUCAUUGACGUUACCCGCAGAAGAAGCACCGGCUAACUCCGUGCCAGCAGCCGCGGUAAUACGGAGGGUGCAAGCGUUAAUCGGAAUUACUGGGCGUAAAGCGCACGCAGGCGGUUUGUUAAGUCAGAUGUGAAAUCCCCGGGCUCAACCUGGGUACUGCAUCUGAUACUGGCAAGCUUGAGUCUCGUAGAGGGGGGUAGAAUUCCAGGUGUAGCGGUGAAAUGCGUAGAGAUCUGGAGGAAUACCGGUGGCGAAGGCGGCCCCCUGGACGAAGACUGACGCUCAGGUGCGAAAGCGUGGGGAGCAAACAGGAUUAGAUACCCUUGUAGUC